UCCGGAUUAACUCCGGCAGUACUGUUAGAGUGCCCAACUAAAUGGUGGCAACUAACAGCGAGGGUUGCGCUCGUUGCGGGACUUAACCCAACAUCUCACGACACGAGCUGACGACAACCAUGCAUCACCUGUAUACCGCCCUUGCGGACCCCAUGUCUCCAUGAGUUUUCGGUAUAUGUCAAGCCUUGGUAAGGUUCUUCGCGUUGCAUCGAAUUAAUCCGCAUGCUCCGCCGCUUGUGCGGGCCCCCGUCAAUUCCUUUGAGUUUUAGCCUUGCGGCCGUACUCCCCAGGCGGGGCGCUUAAUGCGUUAGCUGCGGCACGGAACUCGUGGAAUGAGCCCCACACCUAGCGCCCAACGUUUACGGUGUGGACUAC
This 375-nucleotide unclassified non-coding RNA is filed under the name uncultured Actinomycetes bacterium. Its description in RNAcentral is "uncultured actinobacterium contains 16S-23S intergenic spacer region". The record is from RNAcentral. Lineage: Bacteria; Bacillati; Actinomycetota; Actinomycetes.